RNAcentral lists this ribosomal RNA (385 nucleotides) under uncultured bacterium. RNAcentral describes it as "bacterial SSU rRNA". It matches the Rfam family "Bacterial small subunit ribosomal RNA", at positions 370 to 772 of the family's 1533-position model. The record is from RNAcentral.
AAUGGGCGCAAGCCUGAUCCAGCCAUGCCGCGUGAGUGAUGACGGCCUUAGGGUUGUAAAGCUCUUUCGCCAGGGACGAUAAUGACGGUACCUGGAUAAGAAGCCCCGGCUAACUUCGUGCCAGCAGCCGCGGUAAUACGAAGGGGGCUAGCGUUGUUCGGAAUCACUGGGCGUAAAGCGCACGUAGGCGGAUCUUUAAGUCAGGGGUGAAAUCCCGAGGCUCAACCUCGGAACUGCCUUUGAUACUGGGGAUCUCGAGUUCGGGAGAGGUGAGUGGAACUGCGAGUGUAGAGGUGAAAUUCGUAGAUAUUCGCAAGAACACCAGUGGCGAAGGCGGCUCACUGGCCCGAUACUGACGCUGAGGUGCGAAAGCGUGGGGAGCAAA